This 298-nucleotide ribosomal RNA is filed under the name Salmonella enterica subsp. enterica serovar Infantis. Its description in RNAcentral is "partial 23S ribosomal RNA". It matches the Rfam family "Bacterial large subunit ribosomal RNA", at positions 2633 to 2925 of the family's 2925-position model. Lineage: Bacteria; Pseudomonadati; Pseudomonadota; Gammaproteobacteria; Enterobacterales; Enterobacteriaceae. RNAcentral also lists the same sequence under 3 other names. The record is from RNAcentral.
GGUCCCUAUCUGCCGUGGGCGCUGGAGAACUGAGGGGGGCUGCUCCUAGUACGAGAGGACCGGAGUGGACGCAUCACUGGUGUUCGGGUUGUCAUGCCAAUGGCACUGCCCGGUAGCUAAAUGCGGAAGAGAUAAGUGCUGAAAGCAUCUAAGCACGAAACUUGCCCCGAGAUGAGUUCUCCCUGAGACUUAAAGUCUCCUGAAGGAACGUUGAAGACGACGACGUUGAUAGGCCGGGUGUGUAAGCGCAGCGAUGCGUUGAGCUAACCGGUACUAAUGAACCGUGAGGCUUAACCUU